This 391-nucleotide unclassified non-coding RNA is filed under the name soil metagenome. RNAcentral's name for it is "partial contains 5.8S ribosomal RNA, internal transcribed spacer 2, and large subunit ribosomal RNA". The stretch from base 1 to 122 matches the Rfam family "5.8S ribosomal RNA", at positions 35 to 154 of the family's 154-position model. The record is from RNAcentral.
GAUGAAGAACGCAGCGAAAUGCGAUACUUGGUGUGAAUUGCAGAAUCCCGUGAACCAUCGAGUCUUUGAACGCAAGUUGCGCCCGAAGCCAUUAGGCCGAGGGCACGCCUGCCUGGGCGUCACACGUCGUUGCCCCCCCAUCUACUCCUUCGGGAUUGCGGGGGGCGGAUGAUGGCCUCCCGUGCGCCUCGCCGCGCGGUUGGCAUAAAUGCCAAGUCCUCGGCGACGCACGCCACGACAAUCGGUGGUUGCGAAACCUCGGUUGCCCGUCGUGUGCGGUCGUCGCGCAUCGAGGGCUCGAAAAAAUUGCCGGGUUCCGGCUCGGCUUUCAACGCGACCCCAGGUCAGGCGGGGUUACCCGCUGAAUUUAAGAAUAUCAAUAAGCGGAGGA